RNAcentral lists this ribosomal RNA (253 nucleotides) under uncultured bacterium. Its description in RNAcentral is "partial 16S ribosomal RNA". It matches the Rfam family "Bacterial small subunit ribosomal RNA", at positions 524 to 776 of the family's 1533-position model. The record is from RNAcentral.
UACAGAGGGUGCAAGCGUUAAUCGGAAUUACUGGGCGUAUAGCGUGCGCAGGCGGUUUUGUAAGUCUGUCGUGAAAGCCCCGGGCUCAACCUGGGAAUUGCGAUGGAGACUGCAAGGCUUGAAUCUGGCAGAGGGGGGUAGAAUUCCACGUGUAGCAGUGAAAUGCGUAGAGAUGUGGAGGAACACCGAUGGCGAAGGCAGCCCCCUGGGUCAAGAUUGACGCUCAUGCACGAAAGCGUGGGGAGCAAACAGG